RNAcentral lists this ribosomal RNA (429 nucleotides) under uncultured bacterium. Its description in RNAcentral is "bacterial SSU rRNA". It matches the Rfam family "Bacterial small subunit ribosomal RNA", at positions 355 to 796 of the family's 1533-position model. The record is from RNAcentral.
UGGGGAAUAUUGCGCAAUGGGCGAAAGCCUGACGCAGCGACGCCGCGUGCGGGAUGAAGGCCUUCGGGUUGUAAACCGCUUUCAGCAGGGACGAAGCGAAAGUGACGGUACCUGCAGAAGAAGCGCCGGCUAACUACGUGCCAGCAGCCGCGGUAACACGUAGGGCGCAAGCGUUGUCCGGAAUUAUUGGGCGUAAAGAGCUCGUAGGUGGUCCGCCACGUCCGCUGUGAAAAUCCAGGGCUUAACCCUGGACUUGCAGUGGAUACGGGCGGACUAGAGGUAGGUAGGGGAGAAUGGAAUUCCCGGUGUAGCGGUGAAAUGCGCAGAUAUCGGGAGGAACACCGGUGGCGAAGGCGGUUCUCUGGGCCUUACCUGACACUGAGGAGCGAAAGCGUGGGGAGCGAACAGGAUUAGAUACCCCCGUAGUCC